RNAcentral lists this ribosomal RNA (428 nucleotides) under uncultured prokaryote. RNAcentral's name for it is "bacterial SSU rRNA". It matches the Rfam family "Bacterial small subunit ribosomal RNA", at positions 355 to 774 of the family's 1533-position model. The record is from RNAcentral.
UGAGGAAUAUUGCGCAAUGGGGGCAACCCUGACGCAGCGACGCCGCGUGAGUGAGGAAGGCCUUCGGGUCGUAAAGCUCUGUCAAGAGGGAAGAAGUGCAUGGUGGUUAAUAUCUGUCAUGUUUGACGGUACCUCUAAAGGAAGCACCGGCUAACUCCGUGCCAGCAGCCGCGGUAAUACGGAGGGUGCAAGCGUUGUUCGGAAUCACUGGGCGUAAAGGGCGCGCAGGCGGCCUGAUUAGUCAGAUGUGAAAGCCCACGGCUUAACUGUGGAAGUGCAUUUGAAACUGUCAGGCUUGAGUACCAGAGGGGAAAGUGGAAUUCCCGGUGUAGAGGUGAAAUUCGUAGAUAUCGGGAGGAAUACCGGUGGCGAAGGCGACUUUCUGGCUGGAUACUGACGCUGAGGCGCGAAAGCGUGGGGAGCAAACA